AAUGGGCAUGUGAUGAAUCAUGAAUCUCAUAACAAAUGGGUAAUUUGCGUCUGAACGUUUCAGUGAUGCUAAAUCACUAAGUUGCCAAUU
Molecule: small nucleolar RNA, 90 nt
Organism: Cornus florida
Lineage: Eukaryota; Viridiplantae; Streptophyta; Magnoliopsida; Cornales; Cornaceae
Source: RefSeq, a predicted model, not a curated record